UAAUUCCAGCUCCAAUAGCGUAUAUUAAAGUUGUUGCAGUUAAAAAGCUCGUAGUUGAAUUUCGGGAUCAAUGUUUCGGUCAUGCCGUUGGUAUGUACUGAUAUUAUUGNUUUCUCACCUUCUAAAGAACCGUAAUGCCAUUAAUUUGGUGUCACGGGGAAUUAGGACUGUUACCUUGAAAAAAUUAGAGUGUUUAAAGCAGGCUCACGCUUGAAUACAUUAGCAUGGAAUAAUGAAAUAGGACAUCCGAUUCUAUUUUGUUGGUUUCUAGGAUCGAUGUAAUGAUUAAUAGGGAUAGUUGGGGGCAUUAGUAUUCAAUUGUCAGAGGUGAAAUUCUUGGAUUUAUUGAAGACUAACUACUGCGAAAGCAUUUGCCAAGGAUGUUUUCAUUAAUCAAGAACGAAAGUUAGGGGAUCGAAGACGAUCAGAUACCGUCGUAGUCUUAACCAUAAACUAUGCCGACUAGGGAUCGGAUGA
Molecule: ribosomal RNA, 477 nt
Filed under: Glomus sp. S1
Lineage: Eukaryota; Fungi; Glomeromycota; Glomeromycetes; Glomerales; Glomeraceae
Description: SSU rRNA
Rfam family: Eukaryotic small subunit ribosomal RNA
Source: RNAcentral